This is a long non-coding RNA of Manis pentadactyla (Chinese pangolin), 2185 nucleotides long. RefSeq lists it as uncharacterized. The transcript has 2 exons. NCBI's taxonomy places the organism in Eukaryota, Metazoa, Chordata, Mammalia, Pholidota, Manidae. The record is from RefSeq and is a predicted model, not a curated record.
CCGAGUACAAGCUCGGGGGCUGGGGGUGGGGGUGGCCACAACCCCGAGACACGUCAUCCGGGGGCGGGGUCAGGACUCCAGGGGAGAGGGAAGUUGGCGGUCACGGCUGCCCCGCGGCGCCGCAGAGCCAGAAAGAGGCCGCUGAGGUCACCGCGCGGGUGGUGGAGAGAGUGUAGACACCUCAAGGGAGCCUUGUGGCCGGGAAGAGAGAAGGCCCCGGAUGGAGGGCAAGCGAGAGGAGCCCGAGUGGGGCGGGGGAGCUGGCCUAGGCGGGGCUGCCCACCGCCCGACCUGCCCCGCGUGGGAGGGGCCCGGCGCUCCCUGACUCGGGCUGUCCCUCCACCUCGGGAGCAGGCUGCUCUUCCCUUUCCCAGGAAGCCGCUCCUUGCCGCGCCCCUGCCUGGCGAUGGGAGGAGCCCCUCCAGCACCCAUUCAUUCCUAACCCAGUCCGUGGAUGGCCCUGGCUCAACUGGGCUGCCCUCCUUUGGGGUUUCUCUGCAGCUGUGAUCCUGUGGCAGCUGGGGCUGAAAUCUGAGGAAGGCUGAAUGAGGUUGCAUGUCCAGGGUGGCUUCCUGUGGCUGGCACCUCAGGUGGGUUGCUGGAGGGGCCGUCCUGCCUGGCCACCUCACUGUUUGUGGCCUGUCCGUGUGGCUGCCUGGGCUUCCUCGCAGCAUGGUGGUCUUGAGGCGUGCUGGGGUUCUUCCACGGCAGCCAGCUGUCCGGCACACAGCCACAGACCGGGCUUCUCGUGACCCAGCCUCGGGUGUCGGGCAGCGUCAUUCCCACUGCAGCCUGUGGAUCAGAAAGAAAGUCGGGCCACCCAGAUUCCUGGAGAGCGGGCACUGGGAGGCAUGGUUCACAGGGGCUGCCACGGACUAGCCGUCACCACCUCAUAAUUCUGUAGGGGUUUGUGCUUCCCAGCCUUGGCCUGGCCACCUGGGGUCCAGAGGGACCUCCGCCAGAGCCCGUCCCAGAAGCUGGCCUCCCACUGCCAAUGGCCAGGUGGGCCUCUUUCUCCACACAUGCAGGGCCCUGGGGUGCACGCCAUCCCUGGAGUUCUUGCCAGAGAAAUGAGGCCGUGGAGCCGCCUGCUCCCAGCCCUGGGAAGCCCCAGCUGGGGGUUUCGGGGACACGGCAGCUUCUCCACAGAACACAGAUUCCCUCAUGUUGGGGAGAAGGUAACCUCCUCACACUGAUGCAAGCGGAGGUGCCUUGAGGGCUGGAUUACAGCAUGUGCCUUCAGGACAUCAGCAAGGUGCCACCCCUGCGGAAAAGGUCCUCGAAAAGUUACACAUAGGGAUGCCCUACGGCCAUUCCUAGGUGUGCCCCCCAAGGGAUCAAAAACGGACUUCAACAGACUCUUGUGCCAGCAGCACGUUCAUAAUGGCCAAAAGGUGGAGGAGCCGAGUGGCCAUCCACAGAUGAAUUGAUGAACAGAAUGUGGUCAAGUCACACAGUAGGACAACAUUCAGCCAUAAAAAGAGUGAAAUUCGGACAUGCUACAAUGUGGAUGAACUUUAAUGUAAUGCUGCAUGAAAGAAGCCAGACGUAGGAAGCCGUGUAUUGGCUGAGUCCACUCGUACACACAGACCCAGAACAGGAAGUCUAUAGGGGCGGGAAGUAGAUGAGGGGCUGCCAGGGAGGGGGGAGACAGUGCCGAGAGACUGCUAAUGGGGACAGGGCUUCUUUAUGGGGUGUUGGAAAUGUUCUGGAACUAGAUAGAGGCCAUGGUUGUACAUUAUGAAUGCCACUAAAGUGUACGUGGUAAAAUGGUUAAUGUUAUGUGAGUUUCAGUUCAAUUAUUUUUAAAAAGGAAAAAUAUAUCAGUGAGACUGUUCAGGAACAUUCCAUGCUGGCCAUGGCCACCCAGCCCCAUCUCCCACACAUGCUGGGGCCCUUCCUCUUAGGCCAGAACCAGGCCAUGCCACCUACCAUGGACCUGGGGACAGCAUGGGAGCACGGGGUGAGUUUCUGGAGAAGCCUGGGUCUUGCUGUUUUCCUGGAGGGCCUACUGUGUGCCGGUGACUUGAAAUUGGGGCUGCACAGUCAGAGGGGCUAGAAUAAGUACACCAGGUGUGGAGGAGGGCCUGGGCUGUGAGGCAGCCUAAGCAAGGGGGUGACAGUCACAGAGAUGUCAGGGACCCACAGAAAGGAGGAGGACCUGUGGAAAAGAAUAGGUGCCGCA